UACGUAGGGUGCGAGCGUUAAUCGGAUUUACUGGGCGUAAAGCGUGCGCAGGCGGUUUGUUAAGCGAGAUGUGAAAGCCCCGGGCUCAACCUGGGAACCGCAUUUCGAACUGGCAAACUAGAGUCUUGUAGAGGGGGGUGGAAUUCCUGGUGUAGCAGUGAAAUGCGUAGAUAUCGGGAGGAACACCAGUAGCGAAGGCGGCCAUCUGGCUGGUAACUGACGCUGAGGUGCGAGAGCGUGGGGAGCAAACAGG
RNAcentral lists this ribosomal RNA (253 nucleotides) under uncultured microorganism. RNAcentral's name for it is "partial 16S ribosomal RNA". It matches the Rfam family "Bacterial small subunit ribosomal RNA", at positions 524 to 776 of the family's 1533-position model. The record is from RNAcentral.